RNAcentral lists this ribosomal RNA (292 nucleotides) under uncultured bacterium. Its description in RNAcentral is "partial 16S ribosomal RNA". It matches the Rfam family "Bacterial small subunit ribosomal RNA", at positions 505 to 796 of the family's 1533-position model. The record is from RNAcentral.
GUGUCAGCCGCCGCGGUAAUACGUAGGUGGCAAGCGUUAUCCGGAAUUAUUGGGCGUAAAGCGCGCGCAGGCGGUUUCUUAAGUCUGAUGUGAAAGCCCACGGCUCAACCGUGGAGGGUCAUUGGAAACUGGGGAACUUGAGUGCAGAAGAGAAAAGCGGAAUUCCACGUGUAGCGGUGAAAUGCGUAGAGAUGUGGAGGAACACCAGUGGCGAAGGCGGCUUUUUGGUCUGUAACUGACGCUGAGGCGCGAAAGCGUGGGGAGCAAACAGGAUUAGAUACCCUAGUAGUCC